GAUGAACGCUGGCGGCGUGCCUAAUACAUGCAAGUCGAGCGAACAGACGAGGAGCUUGCUCCUCUUACUUUAGCGGCGGACGGGUGAGUAACACGUGGAUAACCUACCUAUAAGACUGGGAUAACUUCGGGAAACCGGAGCUAAUACCGGAUAAUAUAUUGAACCGCAUGGUUCAAUAGUGAAAGACGGUUUUGCUGUCACUUAUAGAUGGAUCCGCGCCGCAUUAGCUAGUUGGUAAGGUAACGGCUUACCAAGGCAACGAUGCGUAGCCGACCUGAGAGGGUGAUCGGCCACACUGGAACUGAGACACGGUCCAGACUCCUACGGGAGGCAGCAGUAGGGAAUCUUCCGCAAUGGGCGAAAGCCUGACGGAGCAACGCCGCGUGAGUGAUGAAGGUCUUCGGAUCGUAAAACUCUGUUAUUAGGGAAGAACAAAUGUGUAAGUAACUAUGCACGUCUUGACGGUACCUAAUCAGAAAGCCACGGCUAACUACGUG
This 497-nucleotide ribosomal RNA is filed under the name uncultured bacterium. RNAcentral's name for it is "partial 16S ribosomal RNA". It matches the Rfam family "Bacterial small subunit ribosomal RNA", at positions 28 to 507 of the family's 1533-position model. The record is from RNAcentral.